Molecule: long non-coding RNA, 1471 nt
Filed under: Equus caballus (horse)
Lineage: Eukaryota; Metazoa; Chordata; Mammalia; Perissodactyla; Equidae
Description: lncRNA (ENSECAG00000055181.1)
Source: RNAcentral
GGAGAAUGACCAACAAAUUUCGCCACUUCCUCUAACUUGGAGCAAGCUCUCACAUGUGAUGUUGACUAAGAAAAGCAAAUCACAGAGGAAGAUAUAGAGCAUAAACACGCUUCUUUGAAAGUCCAGCUCUGGGCCCUCCUCCACAUGAACCUUCUGCGAAGAGCUGGUUCAGAAAACACCUCAAAUGCGUUGAGCUAUCUAAAAGGACCCAGAAGAAGAUCUAUACAAAGAUAUUACAAAGGAAAGGGAAAGAAGAAGAAAGACAAUUAACCAAGAAUGCUCAGAAAAACCUUGCUACAAGGCCAGCAAAAGUGAAGACCAACACUUUGCACUGACAUUUAAUGAAGUGGUUGCCUCUAAAAACAAGACACAAGUGUGGAGAUCCAAGAGCUCAGAGAUUUGAUGGCCUCGACAAAAGUGAGCGUGGAAACUGCAACCUCGCCCUGCCCCCUGCCUGCAGAUCAGGGAGGAACAAGAAUGUUCUGUGGGACUAAAUCUGACUUGGGAGAUUUUCUUGGGGAUCUCCCCAGUCUCCCAUAUAUCAUCAUAGUGGAACCACUUAAGCCAUUUCAAAUGCUAUCUAUUUCAUUUUUAAUUCACUCAGCCCCUGUCUUUGAGAACUUCCUGUGUGCCAGGUGCUGUGCCAGUGCGUGUUUGUGGGGAGGGCAUGUGCCUCCUCAUCCGCCAGACCCUGAGCCUCCCCGAUGCUCCUGAUGCUGUGAGUGCGAGACCUGUACACUGAAACCACCACACUGCCGAGGGAACCCAGUGAAGACUGAACAAAUGGAAAGCGAGGCCGUGUUCAUGGACUGGACAACGCAGUAUUAUCAAGAAAUUGGCAAGCUUAUCCCUGAGGGCAAAAAUAGCCAAAAGAAUUUUGAAAAAGAAUGAAAUUGGAGGACUUACAUUUGUCGACUUCAAAACUUAGAAUAAAGCUUUGGCAAAAAACAAACAAAAAACAGUGUAGUACUGGCAUACGGGCCAACAUAUACAUCAAUGGGACAGACUUGAGAAUGUAGAAAUAAACCCUUACAUUUAUGGUUAUUUGAUUCUCAACAAAAAUGUCAAAGCAAUUCAGUGGAGGGAAAGGAGAGUCAUUUCAACAAGUGGUGCCAGGACAGAGUAGAAUGGUGUCUGUCUGCGGAGGAAUGGGCCAGGGCUGGGAAUGGGGUGAUGGAAACAUUCUAAACCUGGAAUGUGGUGAUGAUUGCUCAGCUCUAUAAAUUAACUAUAAAUCAUUGAAUUUACACCUAAAAUGGGUGAAUUUUAUGGGGGAGGGAGAGGUAGGCACCUGAGUCCAGAAGCAGGCACAGGUGUGCUGAGGUGGGAGGGUCUGUGGUGGGGCAGGCUGGGUCUGCACCUGCUUUGCCACCUCCUCACUGAGCCUUUCAAAGCCUUGCCUCUUCAUUUCGUAAACUGGGAUGAUGAGGCUUGCAGGCAGGCUGGGAGGGUGGAAGGCACACGUGCAAGG